GAUGAAGAACGUAGCGAAAUGCGAUAAGUAAUGUGAAUUGCAGAAUUCAGUGAAUCAUCGAAUCUUUGAACGCACAUUGCGCCCGCCAGUAUUCUGGCGGGCAUGCCUGUUCGAGCGUCAUUUCAACCAUCAAGCCCCCGGCUUGUGUUGGGGACCUGCGGCUGCCGCAGGCCCUGAAAACCAGUGGCGGGCUCGCUGUCACACCGAGCGUAGUAGAUUUUCAUCUCGCUCAGGGCGUGCUGCGGGUUCCGGCCGUUAAAAAGCCUUAUUUACCCAAGGUUGACCUCGGAUCAGGUAGGAAGACCCGCUGAACUUAAGCAUAUCAAUAAGCGGAGGA
This 337-nucleotide unclassified non-coding RNA is filed under the name soil metagenome. RNAcentral describes it as "partial contains 5.8S ribosomal RNA, internal transcribed spacer 2, and large subunit ribosomal RNA". The stretch from base 1 to 120 matches the Rfam family "5.8S ribosomal RNA", at positions 35 to 154 of the family's 154-position model. The record is from RNAcentral.